AGGACGAACGCUGGCGGCGUGCUUAACACAUGUAAGUCGAGCGGAAAGGCCCUUCGGGGUACUCGAGCGGCGAACGGGUGAGUAACACGUGAGUAACCUGCCCCUAGCUCUGGGAUAGCUCCGGGAAACCGGGAUUAAUACCAGAUACGACCACUUUAGACAUCUGUCGUGGUGGAAAGGAUUCCGGCUAGGGAUGGGCUCGCGGCCUAUCAGCUUGUUGGUGGGUAACGCCUACAAGGCGACGACGGGUA
This 251-nucleotide ribosomal RNA is filed under the name uncultured bacterium. RNAcentral's name for it is "partial small subunit ribosomal RNA". It matches the Rfam family "Bacterial small subunit ribosomal RNA", at positions 26 to 285 of the family's 1533-position model. The record is from RNAcentral.